Long non-coding RNA from Hibiscus syriacus, 313 nucleotides. RefSeq lists it as uncharacterized. The transcript is spliced from 3 exons. The record is from RefSeq and is a predicted model, not a curated record. Lineage: Eukaryota; Viridiplantae; Streptophyta; Magnoliopsida; Malvales; Malvaceae.
CUUCCAUAGGCAUCCAUCACUUUCGGUGCUGAAACCUGCUCUUCGCGCAGUUGGAAAUAUUGCCUCUGCAGAUGAUGUGCAAACCCAGUGUAUUAUAAGCCAUCAGGCAUUGCCAUGCCUUUUGAAACUUCUGACAAAUAAGCAUAAAAUAAGCAUCAAGAAGGAAGCUUGCCGGACCAUCUAAAAUACCACAGCAAAACAUAAGGCUGUGAUAGAAGCUGAUAUUAUUGCUCAUCUGGUUCAUCUACUACAAAGUGGUGAAACACUUGAUAUUAAAGGAGAAGCUGCGCGGGCCAUCUCAAAUGCCACAUCU